GGCCCUGGGAGAACCAUCUUCCCCGGCUCCUCAGUUCACACCUGCGUCCCCCUGGUUCCCGGGAGGGAGUAAGGGGCUUCAGAAAGUGUAAAGCAUUGGUGGGGGGCACCCCCGAAGCACAUGGAAGUUCCUGGGCCAGGGAUCAAAUGGGUGCUAGAGCUGCAGCAACACUGGAUCCUCAACCCACUGUGCCCGGCUGGGGGCCAAGCCUGCUCCACCACAGACAAUGUUGGAUCCUUAACCUGCUGCACCACUGCGUGAACGCCCGUCAAGCAUUUUUUUAAAUGCAUUUAUUCUGAUGUGUCAGGGGAAAAAUUGACCUCCCACAGUUUAAAUACAAUUUUCAUUGUGCUCGCACUAAUUUUCACCUUUAGCCGACUUUCUGAAACCAAGAGGCACAAACUCCAUGAGAGGAGAUUUUCAUUUGUUAACUCCUAGGUCACCAGCAGCCAAAACACAUACCGGAUGUGCCAUACACAGCAACAGAAUAAAAUUCCAAAGGGUCAGUAAAAGAGAGAUUUCUCUGGAAAAUAAAUGGGUUGGUUCUGCAGAUGCCUUCCUUUGGAAACAGUUUGGGCCGACAGAGAAACCCAGGAGUCAGGCCAUGUAUCCAAUUUGUCAAAAGUCCUAUUUCUUUGACUUCAAGUCUCUCUCCUGCCUGCUUUCUGUCACCCCCCAAUCAAAGAUGCCACAUCUGCUCGGGCAACUGCCACGGCCUCCACCCACCUGCAUGCAUUCGCUUUCGCCACUACGGUGUGUCCCCUGCUUUUUAACUCCAGCAAUCCUCUCAACACAGAAACCUGAUCUUGCCUCCUGUUGCUUAUAAACCCAUGACAGGUUUCCCAAACAAUCCGGACAAAGGCACGAUCCCUCCUAGGGUCUAACACCUGCAUGUCUGACCCCUUCUUCCAUUCACCCUUGUCUCUGCCACUGGGCUCUCUGCAGGCUCACCAGGCUACUUCCAUUCCCCUGGUCCCACAGGCACAUUACAGUCCCCUGCGCCAAAUGAAGCUUUAGCUCCUACGCAUCAUUCAGAGGUCAGCGCAAUUGUCACGUCCUCAGGGAAGCCUUCCAAGCCUUCCCUGACCUCCUCGCCCGGGUCAGAUCCCCUUUCGACAUUCUCAUAGCACCAGCUUCUCUAAUUUAGCAUGCGUGGUGGAAUUCUCAUUGAUUUGUAAGAUAAUUCGUAAUUCUCUCUUCUCCCCCUGGACUGUGUCUUCACAGGACUUCAUGUCUUUUUCGGCUCACUGCUGACAUGUCCAGCACCUUGCCUGGCACACACACCCUGCCUGGCACAUCAUGCCAGCUGCAUAAGUCACUGCCGAAUGAAUGAAUGAAUAUUUAAAAACGCUUAAAGUUUGAUCAAGCAGAAAGUAUCCGGCAAGGCACAAGGAACGAAGGACAAGGUUUUAAAAGCCCCAUUUCCUCCCACAUCUGAAAAUAUGCGCAGAGAUUUUUUUCUUAGCAAAAAGAAAUAUCUCUUUCUCAGCAUGAUCUUUCCAACUUUUGACAUUUACUGAAAGGAGACGCCAGGCUACAGUCACUAAAAGCAGGAGUUCUGACUUUUGCAGGGCUGCUCAGUCAGGUGGUAUCUCCCAAUGUUCUUCGUGGAGAACAAGCUGAAACAGAUCUACGAUUAGAAACCACACAUGCCUCCACAAAGAAACAAGACUGACUGUUCCCGUCCCUCGGAGUUCGUCCACUUAGGAUCCACAGUCCAUUCAUUGUGGGGACAUGUCAUUUGCCAUAUAUUUCAUCUGAGGAAUUUUUUUUUAAGGAUAGAAAUGAAUUUAUUUGCAGACAAGAAACAGGCUCACAGACUUCGAAAAGCAUGGUUACCAAAGGGACAGGGGGAGAGGGAGGGGCUGGGGGGCUGGGAUUGGCAAAUGCACACGGAGGCCUGUGGCACGACUGGCCGACGGGGCCCUGCUGCAGUGCACCGGGAGCCGUAUCCCGCAGUCUGCGGUGACCCGUGCGGGCAAAGGGUCUGAACGGGAACGGAUGUUUCCAUGCGAAUGACUGACUCACUCUGCAGAAAUGACGACGACCCCUAAACCGGCCACAUCGCCAUCAAAGGACUUUCUUAAAAGAAAUGGUCGCCUGUCGAGAAGGAAAGAAAGGGAAAGGCGGGAAGGUGCAAAAUCACAGUCAAACCUCGCUUGAUUUUUCUCAAAAACAGAUUUCAGUAAGAUCAGCCAGCCCAGUCCUCAAGCUCGUCACCGUCACGGUCCCCUCGACUGGACCUUCGUAGGUCAGACCCCGUGUCCUGCUUCUCAUCUGUGCCCAAGACUCUCUUUGGCCAUAUUUGGACAUGCGGAAGUUCCUGGGCCAGGGAUCAAACCCGCACCACAGCAGGGACCUGAGCCGCAGCAGCUGACAAUGCCGGAUUCACAUACAGUAUGUGAACUCUCUGCAGUCUCCCAAAUCAAGAUAAACCCUGUCUAAGGCUAAAACUUCUCCAGCAUGUGGCCCUUCUCUGCCCAGCCAAUCUUAUUUCUCACCACUGACUCCAAACAUGCAAUGCUGAAUUUUCUUUUCAUUUCUUUGUUUCUCUUGACUUUUUAGGGCCACACUCAAGGCGUUAUAGAAGUUCCCAGGCUAGGGGUUGAAUCAGCCCUGCGGCUGCCAGCCUACACCACAGCCACAGCCACGCAGGAUCUGAGCCUCAUCUGUGACCUACACCAUAGCUCAAGAGGCACAAACUCCAUGAGAGGAGAUUUUCAUUUGUUAACUCCUAGGUCACCAGCAGCCAAAACAACACAUACCGGGUGUGCCAUACACAGCAACAGAAUAAAAUUCCAAAGGGUCAGUAAAAGAGAGAUUUCUCUGGAAAAUAAAUGGGUCCAGAUCCUUAACCCACGGAACGAGGCCGCAGAUCGAACCUGAGUCCUCCUGGAUCCGAGUCCAGUUCCUGACCACUAAGCCACAAGGAGCUCCAACGGCAGAUUUUCUCACUGUUUUCCUGAGAGAUGUUAUUUUUCUCCUGUUAUUAGAUCAAAUUGUCCCCCUUGCUUAGAAUCGCCCUUUCUUCCCUUCGAUUUUCAAGGCUCAGAUCAAGAGUCACUUUUAUAAAAUACUGCCAAGGCAAUGUCAGUCUUCUCUUCCAACUAAAUGGCGAAUAACUGGACCAUUUUGGUUUAUGCUACCUACUCUUUGGAUUAACUAGUAAAGUUCCAGACAUGGAAGACAUGCAGUGCCCCUGGCUCAUGGAUUAAUUACUUAGCUCACUGACUGAUUGAUCAAACUCCUCAGUUAAAAAAAAAAAAAAAUGCAUGCAGAGAUAUAAAGGAUUUCAGGCACAUUUGCUAAACUCAUUUGCAAAACAAUCUUUUUUCAGGAGUCAACAUAGCCUUUUUAUAUUUGCCUUUACAUUUUUUCCUUGCAAAUUUAAAAGAAGAACAAAAAACAACUAGCAACUAUGUGGAUCUUGGAUAAGAUCCUAACAUUAGGUUUUCUCAAAUCCCACAUUCAUCAGAUAUUUAUACAGUUUAAAAAGCACACUGACCUAUAUGGAAACUCCCCGUAAGUGAGGCUGCAUGUUUGUUUAGCUGUUGUAUAUCUUAGACAUGCACAGACGUCACACCAAGUCAAAAUAAAGAAAAAGAGAAAUGGGCCAAAAAGGAGCGUAAGAAGAAACUAUGUGCUGCUGGCUGCUUUGGGAUAAGAAGGGAACUGAUUUUUUUUUUUUUUUUUAAUGCAUUUGCAACUUUCAGUCUCAUAGACUUACCCCCACUUCCAGCCCAAGCUCUCCGUCUUUAGCUUCAGAAUGCAACUACAGCUAAUCUACGCUGGGUACAUUUUUCAACUACAAUAUUGAAAGAACUAAAAAAACCAUGCAGUUUAUGUGAGCCAUGGUGCAGUCUGAGGAAGACCAGACAUAAAGCUUUGGUUUGAAAAGCAGGUGGUACUUAGUAGACCAUUGCCCUGUUUAUAAUACAAAAACGGGGAAGUUUACAGUAUUAAAUCCCCAUUUGGCACAAAGCUGUGCCUUUGCACAGAGAGUGCUUUCUUCCAGAAGUGGCCCCUGAGCACGGCAACCCAGAUGUCAGGACUUUUAAGUUCUACCUCUCCCUAAUUUCUUCUACUUCUGUUUUCAGAUUCCAGAAUUCUGCAAAGCCUUCUACAAAAGUGCUAGUAAAGAUGACUAGCAUUUUAGGAGUGGCUGUGAACACUAAUUUCACUUGGUCUUAGCCAAAAGGCUGAGAAGCGACUGCUAACACUCAUUUCAGAGGGAAAAAAAAUGUAAUAACCCAUCUGCUAUGGAAAGUGCUACUAUUAGUAAAGUAUCUCUGAGAUAGUUUUUAAUCCAGAAAAAUGUAGAGAGAACCUACAAACAGCACUGAACACAAAACCCCUAAAGUAGUGCUGUCCAAUAAAAAGAUAAUAUAAUACCCACUACAUGUCAUUUUAAUCUUAUAACCAAAUGAAAAUAUGUAGACAAAUAAAAUUAACUUAUUUAUCCUACAUUACCCAGAAUAUUCAGAAUAUUAUCAUUUCAGCAUGUGAUCCAGAUAGCUCAUUAUAAAAGAGAGAUUUUAUAUCCUUUUUUCUUAUUAAGUCCUCAAAAUCUGGUGUCAGUUUUACGCGUAUAGCACAUCCAAAUCACAGCAGCCACAUUCCAAGGGCUUACAGCCACAUGUGGCCAGUGGCUUCUCACUGGCAAACGUAACUGUCAGGGCCAAGUCUGAGGUGAGAGAUUACAAACCAGAGUCAAUUUACCCCUUGUCUCAUUUCUUCCCGAUCCCCAGAAUACGCUGCAUAGCCAGUGGCCCUCAAAAUUCUUUACCACCUUUGCUGCUUUUCAUUAGGAAAACCGCCUUCUGUUUGCUGCAUAAAAGCAGUCAAGCUAGAUGGCCUGAGGUGAAACCCCACCUCCAUCUCUUACUGGUUGUCUGACAACCGUGGACAGAGCAUGAAAACUCUUCAUCUCUCUUGCUGUCGCUCAUCUACAAAACAACACAUGAAUAGAUCCCCUUACAGGCUUCUUGGCUCUUUUAAAUCUUUUUCAAAAAAAAAAAUGGGUUGAUACCUGUCAAACGCUUAUGAGAGGGCUAGCGAAUGAUGUUUAAUAGCAACAUUAUUUCUUUAAGAGUUAGCUGUUAACACUACUUUGCAUGGUUUUUCAGACAUGAUGGAGAUGAGUAAAUAUCACCGGCUGGAAGACCCCUAGGAAAAUCCUGACUUGGAAGACGCAGCUUCUCAAGGGAACUGACCCCUCUGCGCAUCCGAAUUAGAAUGAGGACUCAGAUGAGAACGCAGCUUUCCCUCAUUCGGCAGUACUUAGCCAGGUGCUCCACUGAGCAUCGCACAAGAUGCUGUCUCUGCUGCAGUGCAUUUCCACUCUCUUUUCCUUGCAUACACCCGUCCUUAGGGUGACGUUUGUCUGCAAGCAGCCGAACACGCCCAUCGUUUUGGCUUUUGCAAAAAUACAGACGUUCAAAGACAGGGUUACAACCCCAGUCAUCGUGCAAUCCGAACUCCCCCUGGGAUCCGGCAGUGCUCCUCUCAGCCUUCCUCUAGCUUCAGUUCUGUCCGCAGACUGGCUUCUGCCAGGGUCACAGAAUGACUGCCACUAGUGAGGGGAGUGAUGGAGACAAAAAGGCAGCUCCGCCAGCUGCAGGGAAAACGGUGUCUACUGGGGGCAACCCGUAGUGGUGCAGAGCAGAAACCGCGCACUGAUCGGCUUAAGGCUGGGUUUUCUAAGCAUCUUUAGCAAAGGAAUGGAAUCAUCACCCAGAUCCAACACCACUCUCUGGUCCAGGAGGGAGCGUGUGGAGGGCUGAGGUGGGUGGCUGAAGGAGAGGAGGGUGGUGUCUGUCUGUUUGAUUUGGCUUUUUAGGUCCGCACUCACAGCACAUGGAGGUUCCCAGGCUAGGGGUCACAUCGGAGCUGCAGCUGCCCGCCUACACCACAGCCACAGCAAUGCCAGAUCCAAGCCACAUCGGCGACCUACACCACUGCUCGCUGCAACGCCAAAUCCUUAACCUGCUGAGCAAGGCCAGGGAUCGAACCUUCAUCCUCAUGGAUGCUGGUCAGAUUCGUUAACCACAGAGCCAUGACAGGAACUCCAAAAUUAGGUUUUGUUAGUUAGUAAGGAGGAACUGAAACUGUGUGGCUAGUCAACAGUGUCUAUCACACACUGCUUAAAAGGAAUUUAGAUUCCUGCGAUUGUCCUAAAGUCACUGAAGACUGAAAAGGUAGCUGGGGAGAAAUGAAAUUUAGGACAUGCAUGAUUUUUAUCCUAACUGCAUGGUCUGCUGUGUUUAUCAGUUCAGCCCUGUCUGAAAAGUGUUAAAUGAACAAAUACAUUUAAGACAAGGAAUAGAUUUAGAAAUAUGAUUGCAGCUCUACUUCUUACAACAUAAUUUCCUAGUCUAUUGCCUGUUCUCUUGGAAUUAGUUUUUCCUUUCCAACUCGCCCUUACAUAUGGAAGUCAGAUUAUUUUUCAUGAACGCCAACUUGCCCAUAUACCAUCUUUCAUUCAAACAAUUUCAGUGCUUUCCCAUGUCCAAAGGAGCACAGAAAGAGCUGGAGGAGUUCUCUUGUGACAGAGAGGGUUAAGGAUCCAGUGUUGUCACUGCAGUGACGGAGGUUCUGUCCCUGGCCUGGGAACAUCCAUAUGCUGUAGGUGAGACCAAAAAAAAAAAAAGCCUAGAUCGGAGUUCCCACCGUGGCUCAGUAGCAACAAAUCUGACUAGUACCCAUCAAGUCGCAGAUUCAAUCCCUGGCCUCCCUCAGUGGGUUAAGGAUCCAGCGUUACUGUGGCUGUGGUGUAGGCCAGCGGCUGCAGCUCCAGUUCAACUCCUAGCAUGGGAUCCUCCAUGUGCUGCAAGUAUGGCCCUAAAAA
Molecule: long non-coding RNA, 6847 nt
Filed under: Sus scrofa (pig)
Lineage: Eukaryota; Metazoa; Chordata; Mammalia; Artiodactyla; Suidae
Description: lncRNA (ENSSSCG00015071526.1)
Source: RNAcentral